GUUAAUGUUUAGCGCCUUACCUCCCAGGCAGAUGCAGUCACCUCCUUGGAUGUUCAGCUCACCUGUCCGAAGGCCGCCAUGGCUCCCUGGGGUCCGCCCUGCUCUCCGUCCCGCCUGCCGUCCUCCAGGUCGUAGGCCGUCCCGUCGGCGUCCUGCGCUCCCUCAUCUUUCACCACGACGCCCUCACCUCCGCCUCCCAACACCUGGAACAGAACACAUUAAUGGCAUUGAAAAAGAAGAACAAACAGCAUCUUUUAAUGACCUACGGUCGUCGGAGAGGUCGGUGGCGUUGCCACGGAGACUAUCCCUGCCGACGCUGUCUACGCUGCCCACGCCGGAGCUGCAGCUUGCGGACAGGCUGGCGGCUCGGGCGGCGCCCCCGUUGUCUGCCGUCUGGGCUAGCAGG
Long non-coding RNA from Phyllopteryx taeniolatus (common seadragon), 406 nucleotides. RefSeq lists it as uncharacterized. NCBI's taxonomy places the organism in Eukaryota, Metazoa, Chordata, Actinopteri, Syngnathiformes, Syngnathidae. The record is from RefSeq and is a predicted model, not a curated record. The transcript has 3 exons.